Molecule: long non-coding RNA, 4377 nt
Organism: Eriocheir sinensis (Chinese mitten crab)
Lineage: Eukaryota; Metazoa; Arthropoda; Malacostraca; Decapoda; Varunidae
Exons: 3
Source: RefSeq, a predicted model, not a curated record
GUAGUUAUUUUGUGUGGACAUCAGCAGAGCAGGCGCCGCCGUAUGAUAUCUGGGCGAGACCGUCCUUAUUGUUCAUCUAGAACAGUGCAGUUUCUGGCAUCAGGUGACUCCUACAGCAGCCUCGGAUGCACGUUCAAGAUGUCCAAUCAAGCAAUCAGUCGAAUUGUACCAGAAGUCUGUGAUGCACUGAUUACAGCUCUCAUGAAGUGACUACAUCAAGUCUUGGCGAGGACCGCAUACGAAGGGGCAUGUCCGGCACAGUCCCCACAGCCUGGGAACCGCAACUGGAGGUGGAUGUAGCUACUUGCAGAGAACGGGGCCCGCCAUCAACAGCCACAGGAGCCGUGCCAGGAGGGGGAAGCAGGAGGCAAGCAGGUGAGGCAGCAACAGGAGCAGAGUCUACCUGGCCCCCAGCGGGGACUGCAGGGGCAGGUGAAGACUCACGGUCAGAGCCAGGGGAGAGGUGGGGGUGUCCAGAGGAAGGUGGGGCAGUCUGAAAGGCAUGACGAACAGGGGGCCGGGGGCCUCUGGCUGGCUGGAGAGGCGGAGGACGGGACCCGCCAUCAGCAGCUGCAGGAGCCGUGCCAGGAGGGGGACAAGGUGCAGGAGGAGCAAGCUGAGCUUCCACAGCAGUGAGGCGCUCCAGUGAGUCAGUACAGCCGAGAUGUUGGCCAUAUCCUUCUGGAGGAUGAGCAAGAGACUAGCAGAAGGAUCAGCAGCAGAAGCAGAACACCACUGUUGAUGGGUUUAGGGGAAGAACGGUGACCGUCUACCACCGCAGAGAUAGAACGGCCGGAAAGAAACUGGAGAUAAAGGAACAGAGAGAGGGAUAGAAUCCGAAAGAUGGCAGUUUAGAAAGCAAAGACUUGUGCCAAACUCUAUCGAAGGCUUUCGAUAUGUCUAGCGCAAAAGAGAAAGUUUCACCGAAACGGCUAAGAGAGGAUGACCAAGAGUCAGUUAAGAGAGCAAGAAGAUCGCCAGUAGAACGCCCCUUGCGGAAACCAUACUGGCGAUCAGAUAGAAGGUUAGAAGUGGAAAGGUGCUUUUGAAUCUUCCGGUUAAGGAUUGAUUCAAAAGCUUUAGAUAGACUGGAAAGUAAAGCUAUAGGGAGGUAGUUUGAGGGAUUGGAACGGUCACCCUUCUUAGGCACAGGCUGUACAAAGGCAUACUUCCAGCAGGAAGGAAAGGUAGAUGUUGAUAGGCAGAGACGAAAGAGUUUGACCAGGCAGGGUGUCAGCACGGAAGCACAGUUUUUAAGGACAAUAGGAGGCACUCCAUCAGGUCCAUAAGCCUUCUGACAGUUGAGGCCAGAGAGGGCAUAGAAAACAUCAUUUGUAAGAAUCUUAAUAACAGGCAUAAAGGAGUCAGAGGGGGAUGAGUAGGAGGAAUAUGCCCUGAAUCGUCCAAGGUGGAGUUCUUACAGAAAGUUUGAGCGAAGAGUUCAGCCUUAGAGACAGAUGAGACGGCAGUGCUGCCGUCAGGGUUAAGGAGAAUAGGGAAAGAGGAAGCAUCACUGGUUCAUGUCUCUCCUCCAACAACACCCUGGGGCCUCCUCGCUGUUCAAAGAAGGUAGGAACGUCCUCUACACUACACUGGACGAAGGGCCUGGUUUGAUAUGCUGGUCACGGAAGGUUUUCAAGGGGAGGUCAUGGUACCGCCGGAAAUGGCCCCGAGGGCCUUCAAAAGUUUUGAGUAUGGGAAAGAAAUGCAGAGAUACGGCGCCGUAGCGGGUCCGCAGCCAACGGCGCCUUAGUGAAGUUAACCCGUGGGCUUCAGCUGUGGGAAAGCCGAGAAGUGGCCGAGAAACGGCAACAUUACACUGCAUUUUGAGACAAAGAAAAGAGCAUGGAACUUAUAUCAGAGUAGUACUCUCAUAACCAUAACCCGUUAAAAAUAUUUACUUAUACUCAAACUCCAUUCUUUUUGGGUGGUGUUUGUUACAAAAUAAACAGUCUCGUGACACGUGGCAUCUAGCCGAGAGUCGCUUGUUUUCUACUUUAGAGAAUUUGACAAGUGAUUACUGUAUUGUUACGCCAGGGGGUGUAUUUGCAUAUGUUAUUUGUGUUAUUUGCGUGGGAGGGGUGCUAGUUUGGGGCACGGAAGGCUGGUGAUGGCCGGGCGUGGGGUGCAUCGCGGCAGUCCGGCCGGCCGCGCCCGGGGCGGAAGAGAGAGAGCCGUGCUGCGAGAGACGAGAGAUGCGCCGCAGCCUGUGUGCCCUGCCCCCUGUGUGCCCGGCCCGUUUUUAUGAGCCCUGUGCGUUGUCUGUGCCCCCUCUGUGUACUGGGAGUUAUUGUGCCUUGUAAACCAGUGUUCUGUACGUGUUGGAGCUGUUCAGUAAAGUAGAAAACCUGCACUGUGAGCCUCCUUGCCCUUGCCCUGCCUUGCCCGCUCGUGGUGUGUUGGCGGCCCUGUGGAGUGACGGCAUGGUGUGUCUUGUUGUUCUGGGGUACUCACGGCCCAUGUAUGGUUGUCUGGGAUUGAGGCACACCGCCUGUCCGUGCUUGGAGUGUGGUGUGCGGGCCGGUGGUGUAACAUUUGGUGUCAUAGGAGUGCGAUUAGUGAACAGUGAAGAGUGAGUUACGCCGUGUCGUUAUGGCGUCUCAGGAUGGCCGCCGUGAGGGUGAGGAGGCGGGCAAGGCCGAGGCCGGUGCGGGGGAGUUUACACCGAGCCAGAUGGACUUGAUCGCUGCCGUGAGGGCCGUUGUGAGGCAGGAAAUGGCGGUGGCUCGUGAGGCACAGGCUCAGAGGGUGGACGAGAGGGCACGCGAGCAGGUCCGCCAUCUUGCCGAGGCUCUCUGGAGCUGUCUCUCGUCUCUGAAAGUGGAAACGCAGCCGUACACGGACCGGGCCUGCGACAGCGUGGGCAGCGAACGGCUGGAGGAGGUGCAGCAGACCCUGGAAGCGAGGUUCAGGACCUGAGGGAGGAGGUGGAGGCGGAGAGGCAGCAGCGAGAGGUGGCAGCACCACACGCGGAGGAACGGGCUCAGUUCUGGCGGGAAGCGCAGGGGCGGCGGUCCAGCUGGGGCCUAUCUGGGGCCCCUGGGAGGGAUCCCUGUGUAGUGCUGACUUGCCUGAUGGGCGAGCCUCCCAUAACUCCCUCUGCCAGGGGGGUACCUCUUUGACCGACUGGUAAAAGAGUGGCUCUCCCGUUACGCUGGUCGCGGGUUCGAUUCCCGGCGCCGGCAAACCUUUCCUUGUCUGGAUUAAUUUGUCGUGUGUUUCGUUACACGCAGAGGCCAUGUGUGAGUGUAGUAAAGAGUAAAAAUUCUGGCAUUUCACCUGGAGCCUGGUAGCGUCGUGGUGGAGCCAGUAGCUGCUGCAGGAGGUUGGGGAGCCAACGGAGCCGCUCUCAUGGGUCCAGCUGGUGCUUGGGUCCGAAUAGUUCUCCAACCUUCAUGCUGUCAUUCCGGUUCAAAAUGGGGCAUUUCUUAUUGUUGAACUUAUCAAGCAGCAGAAAGAUAUUAACACAUAUCUUGCGGCUGGCAGCAACCCUGCCGCCACGAUGUUGCGAUAAUUUUAAAUGUGAAUAUCUUCAGUUUGCCGCAGGGUUGCCAUAUACCCAGAAAAGUCUGGAUUUCUCCAGAAUUUUGUUGCUAUUGCCAGAAUUCCAGAAUUUUGUUGCUAUUGCCAGAAUUCCAGAAUUUUGACGAAUAUAUCCAGAUUUUUCAUGCUUAGCCAGAAAGAAUCCCUUAAAACUUUUAUAUUUCCAGAAUUUACUGUUUAGUGAUUAACUGAUUACGUUCAGACGGUUCAGUAAAUAAUCAGAUUACCAUAUACAUCAUUGAGUUUCAACUACUUCGUGUAUAAAAUAAAUACGGACAGUAGCUGUUGAGUUGAAACUUGAAGUCUUGAACAGAAACAUUACCCGUACGCUUCUCGUCAAGGUCCCGUACGCUUCUCGUCAAGACCGUGCAGCGGUGCCAGAUUGUCCUACUCACCCUCAUAUGUUUGCCGAUUUCAGAACCAAAACCAGUCUCCUCCACCCCAAUAACUGACUUCAUAUAUAGUCAUCGUUAAAAUGGUUAAUUAUCGUUAUUUCUUGGCAAUAGUUCUGGGUCAGAAGCCGGUAAAUACGAUGAUCUGAGGAUGAUAAUCUGGCAACGGUGUCACGACGGCAGUCAGUCGCCACUCACGAGUCACGGCAGUACCGUCUCCAAGGUGCCGCAGGAGGAACUACACAGUAGGGAUUUUGAGUGAAAUAUACAGAAUUACGGUGUGCUUCGAGGGACUGGCAGCGGGAUCCGUGGUGGUAGAGGCUGGUAACAUCGCGGAGGUGUGUUCGAUGAUUGAGAGGAACUACUUCGAUUUUGAAGUCACCCGUUCAAUGACCAGUAAAAUGAACUUUGAUAUGAACAAGUCGAAGGAUCCAGAAGAUAU